This 775-nucleotide ribosomal RNA is filed under the name uncultured Neocallimastigales. Its description in RNAcentral is "partial large subunit ribosomal RNA". It matches the Rfam family "Eukaryotic large subunit ribosomal RNA", at positions 19 to 649 of the family's 3401-position model. The record is from RNAcentral. Lineage: Eukaryota; Fungi; Neocallimastigomycota; Neocallimastigomycetes; Neocallimastigales.
CCGAGCACGCGCGUGUGGCAUAUCAAUAAGCGGAGGAAAAGAAACUAACAAGGAUUCCCUUAGUAACGGCGAGUGAAGCGGGAAGAGCUCAAAUUUGAAAUCUUCAAGGUUCUACCUUGACGAAUUGUAGUUUAUAGAAGUGUUUUCUGUUAGUGGAGUGGCAAAAGUUCUUUGGAAUAGGACAUCAUAGAGGGUGAGAAUCCCGUAUUUGGUCAUUCCUCCUAGCGUUGUGAUACACUUUCAACGAGUCGGAUUGUUUGGGAAUGCAGUCCAAAAUGGGUGGUAAAUUUCAUCUAAAGCUAAAUAUUGGCGAGAGACCGAUAGCGAACAAGUACCGUGAGGGAGAGAUGAAAAGAACUUUGAAAAGAGAGUUAAACAGUACGUGAAAUUGUCAAAAGGGAAGCGUUUGACACCAGUGUUGUUUUUCCGAAAAUCAAUUACGAAUGUUUUGUUUUUGAGGAGUUAUAACUUCAUCGGCUUGCUCCUUUCUUUAUGAAACUUUCUUAAUGCACUUUUCGGUUAACAAGUCAACAUCAAUUUCUUUUGUUGUAAAAGGGUAUGAGGAAGGUGGCUUUCACUUCGGUGAAAGUGUUUAUAGCCUUUGGCUUCUACAAUCGGAGAGAUUGAGGUCUGCAGCGUAGAUCCUUCGGGGUUAGAUACGUAGAUGCUAAGUUAUAGUUUUUUAUAGACAACUUGUUGACUAUGAUUGAUCAUGUAGCUUACUCGUUUACGCUAUUUUACCUACGCUUAGGAUGUUGAGUAGCGACAUACGCAC